RNAcentral lists this long non-coding RNA (1069 nucleotides) under Astyanax mexicanus (Mexican tetra). Its description in RNAcentral is "lncRNA (ENSAMXG00005012634.1)". The record is from RNAcentral. Lineage: Eukaryota; Metazoa; Chordata; Actinopteri; Characiformes; Acestrorhamphidae.
CCAGUGACUGUGAUUGUGUGCGCGUGCGUGUAUUUAUUCUUACACCAAACCUGCAUUAAUUCACUGACUCUUUUUAUUUCAGCAGGCGAUAUGCUGCAGUAACCCAGGUCAGUCACGAGAUGGUAGUCUAGGCAAAGUUAAGGAAGUCCGGAAAGCGUGCUCUAAUGUUCGUAUCUGGAAGUGGCGUUCUGGGUUGUUUAUAUAUUGGACACAACAGAACUCCCUUUUUUCUGAGAGUCUUUUGAGUUGUUAGUUUGAGAGCAGGGAAAAUGCUGACAGAAGAAAUCAGGUCUUCCUCCCUGCAUGUGUUCACUCUGCCUGCAAACGACGUGUCCUGUAAUGUAUUACGGAGCCACUUAUCACUUGAGGCAAGAUGGUGGAGAAGAGCCUGUCCUCAUGUCCCAGCAGUCCACGGGCUGAAGAGCAGAGCUGCUGCAGGAGUAAAUGCAUUGCUAUUUAUCAAAACAGCAGCAUUCGAUGAAUUGCUUUUUAUUGACAGGUACACAGAAUGCACCACGGGCUAUGGGUUAGGCUCAAUAAAAGUGACUGAUGACCCCUCAGAGACACUAGUUCUUUCUAAUUUCCUGUAAUAGACCUUCACCGUGCUUCAGAUUCAACCAAAGUUUUUAAGAAGGACUUUUAGAAGUCCACUAGGUGCAGCCAUUCUGUGUUAUCGAGUCCAGUGUCCAGAUUUGGAAUGAUUCAGAGUCUGAAGGUUGCCCGCUUUAGCGUAGAGACCACAAUCUGACAAAGACAAGACAUAAAUCAACCUGACAUCACAACCUGCUACCAAUAAGACUCCAUUCAGAAAAGCCCUUUAUCUCUGGGAAUGUAUUUUUGGCUGAUUUUUCCUGUGCAUAUGUAGUUCAUAGGGGUGGCUUUUGGGGUCAGGAAAGACAAAAAAAUACCAAAAACGUUUAACCUCUUAAACAACAAGGUGGCAAGGUCCCAUAUUUCAAUUUCUCACUCUUAAUUACCACAGAAAACACUGUUAUAACAUCUUAUUAACAAUUUACAAGCUUGUUUAUACAGAAAAACACACUAUAUAAUAAAAUAAAAAAAGAUUACA